GAUUUUUAUGCUUUGGUGUUUUUAGUGUAAUAUGCGGAACCACACUGAUCCAUUUCGAACUCAGUUGUGAAACGUUAUAAAUCGACGACAAUACUUGGAGGGGGGCCUCCUGGAAAGAUAGUUCAA
RNAcentral lists this ribosomal RNA (126 nucleotides) under Toxarium undulatum. Lineage: Eukaryota; Bacillariophyta; Thalassiosirophyceae; Ardissoneales; Ardissoneaceae. The record is from RNAcentral.